Molecule: long non-coding RNA, 721 nt
Organism: Xenia sp. Carnegie-2017
Lineage: Eukaryota; Metazoa; Cnidaria; Anthozoa; Malacalcyonacea; Xeniidae
Exons: 2
Source: RefSeq, a predicted model, not a curated record
CACUGCUUUAGUGCUUUGGUAGAUGUAAAAACAGGUUGGAACUCAAGCUCAUGGCAAUGUUUUGAGCCACUCCAUUGUAAACAGGAAGAUAUGUAUAACUGUGGAGUGUACAUAUGCUUGUUUGCUCGAUGUCUAGCCCUUGGCUUGGAUCAAAAACCAGCAAACAUGGAGACUGAGAGAAAACGAAUCCUUUCAACAUUACUUGGGUCUUGCUAUGAUGAUAUCACACAAUAAGGCAUAAAUAACAUUUGGCUGAAUAUUUUUAUAUGGAAUUCAUUAUGAAUAUCUUAGGAAGCAAAAUGUGGCUGUUUGCAAAAUAUGCAGAGAGGAUGACAAUGAAGACUGGCUGAGUUGUGAUCAAUAUGGUCAAUUUUUUCAUUCAAGUUGCCUUAAUGUUGACUUUGCCAUAACCUUGUCAACACAUUAUAGAUGCAGAUAAAAUUUUAUCAAUAUUAUUUGACAUGCAACAAAAUCAUUGUUAUGGUAUCAGUGCAAAUUGUGUAAUUAAAAUGAGUGCUUCAAAAUAUAGUAAUGUGUGAAUGAUAAAUACUUUAAUUCAAGAUAAAAUGAACUGGAAAAUUAAAUUGAUUCGUCACGAUUGUGCUUGCCACUAAUUGAAUCUCAGACAUGCUAUGAAUAGUUUGAAACUGUUGAUGAAAUGUUACCAUAAACUACAAGUUUUACAAAUAUAUCUGAAAUAAAAUGGCUUAUUCUUAUUUCU